UUGAACGCUGGCGGCAUGCCUUACACAUGCAAGUCGAACGGUAGAGGGGCAACCCUUGAGAGUGGCGAACGGGUGAGUAAUAUAUCGGAACGUGCCCAGUCGUGGGGGAUAACGCAGCGAAAGCUGCGCUAAUACCGCAUACGAUCUAUGGAUGAAAGCGGGGGAUCGCAAGACCUCGCGCGAUUGGAGCGGCCGAUAUCAGGUUAGGUAGUUGGUGGGGUAAAAAGCCCCAC
Molecule: ribosomal RNA, 233 nt
Filed under: uncultured bacterium
Lineage: Bacteria
Description: partial 16S ribosomal RNA
Rfam family: Bacterial small subunit ribosomal RNA
Source: RNAcentral